CUCAUCAGUUACAUUUAUUCUUUGGUUGCAGGUUCAUCGUAUCUAUUCAUCGCGAAGGCCGCGGGCUUGCAGAGGAAAAGGAAACAUUCGUAAGAACCGUAGCAUGAAGUGAACGUCAAAAUACACAGGAAGAUAAUAUCAACUGUCCCUUAAUAGAGAAGAUGUUUCAAAAAAAUGUAAGGAGUCUUUAGGAAACCGGUUGUCCGUUAAAGCAGUUCAUACAUUAAUUCCACCAAGCCAUAUAGUGGUGGAUUAAGCUCCAAGACAU
Molecule: long non-coding RNA, 268 nt
Organism: Nymphalis io (European peacock)
Lineage: Eukaryota; Metazoa; Arthropoda; Insecta; Lepidoptera; Nymphalidae
Exons: 3
Source: RefSeq, a predicted model, not a curated record